This 253-nucleotide ribosomal RNA is filed under the name uncultured bacterium. RNAcentral's name for it is "partial 16S ribosomal RNA". It matches the Rfam family "Bacterial small subunit ribosomal RNA", at positions 524 to 776 of the family's 1533-position model. The record is from RNAcentral.
UACGUAGGGUGCAAGCGUUAAUCGGAAUUACUGGGCGUAAAGCGUGCGCAGGCGGCUUUGCAAGACAGAUGUGAAAUCCCCGGGCUUAACCUGGGAACUGCAUUUGUGACUGCAUGGCUGGAGUGCGGCAGAGGGGGAUGGAAUUCCGCGUGUAGCAGUGAAAUGCGUAGAUAUCGAGAGGAACACCAGUGGCGAAGGCGAGUCCCUGGACAACUACUGACACUGAGGCACGAAAGCUAGGGGAGCAAACAGG